RNAcentral lists this ribosomal RNA (461 nucleotides) under uncultured Acidobacteriota bacterium. RNAcentral describes it as "bacterial SSU rRNA". It matches the Rfam family "Bacterial small subunit ribosomal RNA", at positions 32 to 525 of the family's 1533-position model. The record is from RNAcentral. Lineage: Bacteria; Pseudomonadati; Acidobacteriota.
AACGCUGGCGGCGUGCCUAACACAUGCAAGUCGCACGAGAAAGGGUAGUUAUACCUGAGUAAAGUGGCGCACGGGUGAGUAACACGUGAAUAAUCUUCCUCUGAGUGGGGAAUAACUGAGAGAAAUCUUAGUUAAUACCGCAUAACACUUACGAGUCAAAGCAGCAAUGCGCUUGGAGAGGAGUUCGCGGCCGAUUAGUUAGUUGGCGGGGUAAUGGCCCACCAAGACGAUGAUCGGUAUCCGGCCUGAUAGGGCGCACGGACACACUGGAACUGAAACACGGUCCAGACUCCUACGGGUGGCAGCAGUGGGGAAUUUUGCGCAAUGGGGGAAACCCUGACGCAGCAACUCCGCGUGGAGGAUGAAAUAUCUUGGUAUGUAAACUCCUUUCGAUGGGGAUGAUUAUGACGGUACCCAUAGAAGAAGCCCCGGCUAACUUCGUGCCAGCAUCCGCGGUAAUU